GGAAUUUUCGGCGUACUGUUUCUUGCUUCUGACAUCAUUAAUCAAGAUAGCUGCGGCGAGGAAAGCAACGGAAGUAUUGAUUAUGUUAUUUCUUCGUAUCACCAAGGAUAAUCCGCCAAGGUCGCACGUGCCCUUAAUUACAAUUAACAGCAUGGAGCCGAACAUGAUGAAGGUCUGAAUGAAAUCCGUCCACACCACCGCCUUGAGGCCGCCCUGUGUAGAAUAUGCAAACGAUGCACACGAAGGGAGUGACUAUGUGCACAUUCACCCCCGUCACUAAAAGAAGAAUAAUGAAAGAAAAAUUA
This is a long non-coding RNA of Dinoponera quadriceps, 305 nucleotides long. RefSeq lists it as uncharacterized. The record is from RefSeq and is a predicted model, not a curated record. Lineage: Eukaryota; Metazoa; Arthropoda; Insecta; Hymenoptera; Formicidae. The transcript has 3 exons.